RNAcentral lists this long non-coding RNA (1354 nucleotides) under Oryctolagus cuniculus (rabbit). Its description in RNAcentral is "lncRNA (ENSOCUG00000030007.1)". The record is from RNAcentral. Lineage: Eukaryota; Metazoa; Chordata; Mammalia; Lagomorpha; Leporidae.
CUGCUUUGGAGAAUGUUUCAUGUGUCUUUGGGAAGGUCAGGCCUGAGUGGUAAAACAGGUAACAGGUUUUCGAAAAUAUUACUCUGUCUAAUAUGAGUUCAUCAGCAGGAGUACAGAGGCUAGAAGGUGACGGUGUGGGGACAUUGGAUUCAGUCAAAGGACACCAAGUUUCAGUUCUAGAGCACUAUUAUCCAGCAUGAUGAGAUAGUAAUGCACUGUGUACUCAGAAGUUUGAGGGAGUAUAACCUAAACGUUCUCAUUGCAGAGAAUGGUGUAAUGAAUUCUAAGGUAAUGCUAGGAUUCCAGCCCCUUGUCACACACUCAUCUUCCCCCAGUUAUGCAGUCACAGAGGAACCUAGGUGCUGCUGUGCCAAACCAGUCAUUUUCAGAUGCUCUGAGGACUGCGCUUAAAAGUUGUUGAAUUUCCGUUCAUCGGCUUUGGAAUUCUGCUUCAUAUUUCCCAGAUUCCCACCAUCGUCAUCACUGCCUUCAAUGCCAUACGACCAUGGUACAUUUUUGACCCUCCCACUCAACUAAAAUUCCUUGCAAGAACUAGAUCUCCACUUACCUAUCUAAUAUGGUGAAAUGUUAAUACCCGUUUAUUUUUUCUCCUCUUGCAAAUGUUAGUUAUCACCUCCCUCAAUGUCUGUCAGCUGUGAAGGGCAGAGAGUCUUUCAUACUUGCCCCUGUCCACUAAAAUCUCGCUCUCCAGAGAGUUGUUUUUUUUUUUUUUUUUUUGGUCUUCCUUUGCCGUUGGUUCACCCUCCAAUGGCCGCCACGGCUGGCGCACUGCACUGAUCCGAAGCCAGGAGCCAGGUGCUUCUCCUGGUCUCCCAUGUGGGAGAAGGGCACAAAGACUUGGGCCAUCCCCCACUGCACUCCCUGGCCAUAGCAGAAAGCUGGCCUGGAAGAGGGGCAACUGGGACAGAAUCCAACACCCCGACCGGGACUAGAACCUGGUGUGCCAGCGCCGCAAGGUGGAGGAUUAGCCUAGUGAGCCGCGGCGCCGGCCUCUCUAGAGAGUUAUACUGCUUCCAGAGUGACCUCCAACAGAAACAAGUACCAGAGAUUCUUGGGUCCAGCUUCAGACUUAGGCACCAAAUCCCAUCAGGAGUGGUACCUUUAAGCAAUGAUCAGUUUGGGUUUUAGCCUCUCCUUUAAAUUUACAGGGCAAUUCAUAAAAAUACCAUGUUACUGCUUUCAAACUUGAGCCAUUACUACAUGUUCUCCAACCUACUCACCUUACUUGCUGAAAAUUACUAUUUUUGGAGCUACUCAUAUGUUAACAGAUCAGUUAUACAACAACUGGCAUCAGUAUAACUUUAAUGUAAUAAAAUUGCAUUCCAAAUUCUCA